RNAcentral lists this ribosomal RNA (497 nucleotides) under uncultured Escherichia sp. Its description in RNAcentral is "bacterial SSU rRNA". It matches the Rfam family "Bacterial small subunit ribosomal RNA", at positions 953 to 1450 of the family's 1533-position model. The record is from RNAcentral. Lineage: Bacteria; Pseudomonadati; Pseudomonadota; Gammaproteobacteria; Enterobacterales; Enterobacteriaceae.
GAUGCAACGCGAAGAACCUUACCUGGUCUUGACAUCCACGGAAGUUUUCAGAGAUGAGAAUGUGCCUUCGGGAACCGUGAGACAGGUGCUGCAUGGCUGUCGUCAGCUCGUGUUGUGAAAUGUUGGGUUAAGUCCCGCAACGAGCGCAACCCUUAUCCUUUGUUGCCAGCGGUCCGGCCGGGAACUCAAAGGAGACUGCCAGUGAUAAACUGGAGGAAGGUGGGGAUGACGUCAAGUCAUCAUGGCCCUUACGACCAGGGCUACACACGUGCUACAAUGGCGCAUACAAAGAGAAGCGAUCUCGCGAGAGCAAGCGGACCUCAUAAAGUGCGUCGUAGUCCGGAUUGGAGUCUGCAACUCGACUCCAUGAAGUCGGAAUCGCUAGUAAUCGUGGAUCAGAAUGCCACGGUGAAUACGUUCCCGGGCCUUGUACACACCGCCCGUCACACCAUGGGAGUGGGUUGCAAAAGAAGUAGGUAGCUUAACCUUCGGGAGGG